Molecule: transfer RNA, 71 nt
Filed under: Phycisphaerales bacterium
Lineage: Bacteria; Pseudomonadati; Planctomycetota; Phycisphaerae; Phycisphaerales
Description: tRNA-Gly
Rfam family: tRNA
About the family: Transfer RNA (tRNA) molecules are approximately 80 nucleotides in length. Their secondary structure includes four short double-helical elements and three loops (D, anti-codon, and T loops).
Source: RNAcentral
GCGGGCGUAGCUUAAUGGUAAAGCUCCAGCCUUCCAAGCUGGCCAUGUCGGUUCGAUUCCGAUCGCCCGCU